AUUGAACGCUGGCGGCAUGCCUUACACAUGCAAGUCGAACGGCAGCACGGGAGCAAUCCUGGUGGCGAGUGGCGAACGGGUGAGUAAUAUAUCGGAACGUGCCCAGUCGUGGGGAUAACGUAGCGAAAGCUACGCUAAUACCGCAUACGAUCUAUGGAUGAAAGCGGGGGAUCGCAAGACCUCGCGCGAUUGGAGCGGCCGAUAUCAGAUUAGGUAGUUGGUGAGGUAAAGGCUCACCAAGCCGACGAUCUGUAGCUGGUCUGAGAGGACGACCAGCCACACUGGGACUGAGACACGGCCCAGACUCCUACGGGAGGCAGCAGUGGGGAAUAUUGGACAAUGGGCGAAAGCCUGAUCCAGCAAUGCCGCGUGUGUGAAGAAGGGUCUUCGGAUUGUAAAGCACUUUAAGUUGGAGGAAGGGUAGUAACCUAAUAACGUUGCUACUUUGACGUUACCGACNGAAUAAGCACCGGCU
Molecule: ribosomal RNA, 475 nt
Filed under: uncultured bacterium
Lineage: Bacteria
Description: bacterial SSU rRNA
Rfam family: Bacterial small subunit ribosomal RNA
Source: RNAcentral